Molecule: small nuclear RNA, 126 nt
Filed under: Anolis carolinensis (green anole)
Lineage: Eukaryota; Metazoa; Chordata; Lepidosauria; Squamata; Anolidae
Description: U1 spliceosomal RNA (ENSACAG00000021531.1)
Rfam family: U1 spliceosomal RNA
About the family: U1 is a small nuclear RNA (snRNA) component of the spliceosome (involved in pre-mRNA splicing). Its 5' end forms complementary base pairs with the 5' splice junction, thus defining the 5' donor site of an intron.
Source: RNAcentral
AAACCUGCACAACUGAGGAUGGACUGCUGCAGCUCAUCCAUUGCACUCCGGGUGUGCUGACCCCUGGCGAUUUCCCCAAAAGCGGGAAACUCGACUGCAUAAUUUGUGGUAGUUACUCUCCCAUAA